This 437-nucleotide ribosomal RNA is filed under the name uncultured bacterium. Its description in RNAcentral is "partial 16S ribosomal RNA". It matches the Rfam family "Bacterial small subunit ribosomal RNA", at positions 29 to 507 of the family's 1533-position model. The record is from RNAcentral.
AGCGAACGCUGGCGGCAGGCUUAACACAUGCAAGUCGAGCGGGCAUCCUUGUGGUGUCAGCGGCAGACGGGUGAGUAACGCGUGGGAACGUGCCCUUCGGUUCGGAAUAACUCAGGGAAACUUGAGCUAAUACCGGAUACGUGCGAGAGCAGAAAGGUUUAUCUGCCGAAGGAUCGGCCCGCGUCUGAUUAGCUAGUUGGUGAGGUUACGGCUCACCAAGGCGACGAUCAGUAGCUGGUCUGAGAGGAUGAUCAGCCACACUGGGACUGAGACACGGCCCAGACUCCUACGGGAGGCAGCAGUGGGGAAUAUUGGACAAUGGGGGCAACCCUGAUCCAGCCAUGCCGCGUGAGUGAUGACGGCCUUAGGGUUGUAAAGCUCUUUUCUCCGGGACGAUAAUGACGAUACCGGAGUAAUAAGCCCCGGCUAACUUCGUG